This 1372-nucleotide ribosomal RNA is filed under the name uncultured bacterium. RNAcentral describes it as "bacterial SSU rRNA". It matches the Rfam family "Bacterial small subunit ribosomal RNA", at positions 28 to 1381 of the family's 1533-position model. The record is from RNAcentral.
GAUGAACGCUGGCGGCGUGCCUAAUACAUGCAAGUCGAGCGAACGGACGAGAAGCUUGCUUCUCUGAUGUUAGCGGCGGACGGGUGAGUAACACGUGGAUAACCUACCUAUAAGACUGGGAUAACUUCGGGAAACCGGAGCUAAUACCGGAUAAUAUUUUGAACCGCAUGGUUCAAAAGUGAAAGACGGUCUUGCUGUCACUUAUAGAUGGAUCCGCGCUGCAUUAGCUAGUUGGUAAGGUAACGGCUUACCAAGGCAACGAUGCAUAGCCGACCUGAGAGGGUGAUCGGCCACACUGGAACUGAGACACGGUCCAGACUCCUACGGGAGACAGCAGUAGGGAAUCUUCCGCAAUGGGCGAAAGCCUGACGGAGCAACGCCGCGUGAGUGAUGAAGGUCUUCGGAUCGUAAAACUCUGUUAUUAGGGAAGAACAUAUGUGUAAGUAACUGUGCACAUCUUGACGGUACCUAAUCAGAAAGCCACGGCUAACUACGUGCCAGCAGCCGCGGUAAUACGUAGGUGGCAAGCGUUAUCCGGAAUUAUUGGGCGUAAAGCGCGCGUAGGCGGUUUUUUAAGUCUGAUGUGAAAGCCCACGGCUCAACCGUGGAGGGUCAUUGGAAACUGGAAAACUUGAGUGCAGAAGAGGAAAGUGGAAUUCCAUGUGUAGCGGUGAAAUGCGCAGAGAUAUGGAGGAACACCAGUGGCGAAGGCGACUUUCUGGUCUGUAACUGACGCUGAUGUGCGAAAGCGUGGGGAUCAAACAGGAUUAGAUACCCUGGUAGUCCACGCCGUAAACGAUGAGUGCUAAGUGUUAGGGGGUUUCCGCCCCUUAGUGCUGCAGCUAACGCAUUAAGCACUCCGCCUGGGGAGUACGACCGCAAGGUUGAAACUCAAAGGAAUUGACGGGGACCCGCACAAGCGGUGGAGCAUGUGGUUUAAUUCGAAGCAACGCGAAGAACCUUACCAAAUCUUGACAUCCUUUGACAACUCUAGAGAUAGAGCCUUCCCCUUCGGGGGACAAAGUGACAGGUGGUGCAUGGUUGUCGUCAGCUCGUGUCGUGAGAUGUUGGGUUAAGUCCCGCAACGAGCGCAACCCUUAAGCUUAGUUGCCAUCAUUAAGUUGGGCACUCUAAGUUGACUGCCGGUGACAAACCGGAGGAAGGUGGGGAUGACGUCAAAUCAUCAUGCCCCUUAUGAUUUGGGCUACACACGUGCUACAAUGGACAAUACAAAGGGCAGCGAAACCGCGAGGUCAAGCAAAUCCCAUAAAGUUGUUCUCAGUUCGGAUUGUAGUCUGCAACUCGACUACAUGAAGCUGGAAUCGCUAGUAAUCGUAGAUCAGCAUGCUACGGUGAAUACGUUCCCGGGUCU